This 76-nucleotide transfer RNA is filed under the name Photobacterium phosphoreum. RNAcentral's name for it is "tRNA-Thr". It matches the Rfam family "tRNA". From Rfam's summary of the family: Transfer RNA (tRNA) molecules are approximately 80 nucleotides in length. Their secondary structure includes four short double-helical elements and three loops (D, anti-codon, and T loops). Further hydrogen bonds mediate the characteristic L-shaped molecular structure. tRNAs have two regions of fundamental functional importance: the anti-codon, which is responsible for specific mRNA codon recognition, and the 3' end, to which the tRNAs corresponding amino acid is attached (by aminoacyl-tRNA synthetases). tRNAs cope with the degeneracy of the genetic code in two manners: having more than one tRNA (with a specific anti-codon) for a particular amino acid; and 'wobble' base-pairing, i.e. permitting non-standard base-pairing at the 3rd anti-codon position. The record is from RNAcentral. Lineage: Bacteria; Pseudomonadati; Pseudomonadota; Gammaproteobacteria; Vibrionales; Vibrionaceae. RNAcentral also lists the same sequence under 26 other names.
GCUGGUAUGGCUCAGUUGGUAGAGCGCACCCUUGGUAAGGGUGAGGUCCCCAGUUCGACUCUGGGUACUAGCACCA